GCUAGCGUAGCUUAAUAUAAAGCGUAACACUGAAGAUGUUAGGAUGGGCCCUAGAAAGCUCCGCAUGCA
RNAcentral lists this transfer RNA (69 nucleotides) under Cyprinella leedsi (bannerfin shiner). RNAcentral describes it as "tRNA-Phe". It matches the Rfam family "tRNA". From Rfam's summary of the family: Transfer RNA (tRNA) molecules are approximately 80 nucleotides in length. Lineage: Eukaryota; Metazoa; Chordata; Actinopteri; Cypriniformes; Leuciscidae. The record is from RNAcentral.